CCUACGAGGGGCUGCAGUGAGGAAUAUUGGUCAAUGGACGAGAGUCUGAACCAGCCAAGUAGCGUGAAGGAUGACUGCCCUAUGGGUUGUAAACUUCUUUUAUAUGGGAAUAAAACAGGGUAUGCAUACCCUCUUGUAUGUACCAUAUGAAUAAGAAUCGGCUAACUCCGUGCCAGCAGCCGCGGUAAUACGGAGGAUCCGAGCGUUAUCCGGUGUUAUUGGGUUUAAAGGUGGCGUAGGUGGAUUGUUAAGUCAGUUGGGAAAGUGUGCGGCUCAACCGUAAAAUUGCAGUUGAAACUGGCAGUCUUGAGUACAGUAGAGGUGGGCGGAAUUCGUGGUGUAGCGGUGAAAUGCUUAGAUAGCACGAAGAACUCCGAUUGCGAAGGCAGCUCACUGGACUGCAACUGACACUGAUGCUCGAAAGUGUGGGUAUCAAACAGGAUUAGAUACCCCUGUAGUC
RNAcentral lists this ribosomal RNA (460 nucleotides) under uncultured bacterium. RNAcentral describes it as "partial 16S ribosomal RNA". It matches the Rfam family "Bacterial small subunit ribosomal RNA", at positions 338 to 795 of the family's 1533-position model. The record is from RNAcentral.